This 431-nucleotide ribosomal RNA is filed under the name uncultured bacterium. RNAcentral's name for it is "partial 16S ribosomal RNA". It matches the Rfam family "Bacterial small subunit ribosomal RNA", at positions 29 to 507 of the family's 1533-position model. The record is from RNAcentral.
AACGAACGCUGGCGGCAGGCUUAACACAUGCAAGUCGAGCGCCCCGCAAGGGGUGCGGCAGACGGGUGAGUAACGCGUGGGAACGUACCUUUUGGUUCGGAACAACUCCGGGAAACUGGAGCUAAUACCGGAUAAGCCCUAACGGGGAAAGAGUUAUCGCCGAAAGAUCGGCCCGCGUCUGAUUAGCUAGUUGGUGAGGUAACGGCUCACCAAGGCGACGAUCAGUAGCUGGUCUGAGAGGAUGAUCAGCCACACUGGGACUGAGACACGGCCCAGACUCCUACGGGAGGCAGCAGUGGGGAAUAUUGGACAAUGGGCGCAAGCCUGAUCCAGCCAUGCCGCGUGAGUGAUGAAGGCCUUAGGGUUGUAAAGCUCUUUUGUCCGGGAAGAUAAUGACUGUACCGGAAGAAUAAGCCCCGGCUAACUUCGUG